Molecule: long non-coding RNA, 1006 nt
Organism: Tympanuchus pallidicinctus (lesser prairie-chicken)
Lineage: Eukaryota; Metazoa; Chordata; Aves; Galliformes; Phasianidae
Exons: 3
Source: RefSeq, a predicted model, not a curated record
AUCACCUUUUAGGGAGAACAGACAACGCAGUUUCUGUUUAUCACUUACAGAAAAUAUCUGUUUCUUACUGACUAGCUCUGAAAUCCCAAACAAAUUAUGAACUACUGCUCAUUUAUGCAGUGCUAGAUAUCUAUCACCAAGAGGCAAUAUGUAAUCCCCCUCCCAAGACAGUAAGAGCCUUCCACAAAAUUCCCCAUUUAGUCCAGAAGAAAAGUCACUCUGAAGCAUCAAACAAUUUCCAGUUGGAAGAUAGAAUACUUUUUUCUUUCUGUGGACAUUUCAAGAAAGUAUGUAUGUCACUAGUCAUGUGACUGAAAAAAAGAAAAGAUGGAGUGACUGGAGUGAUGGCAAUCACUGAUUUAAUUCUCUUAUAAAAAGGAUUCUGAGCGAGACUACAGCAAACUAUUUGACUUUUUAACUUUGUGAGAAAAAAAAUGAUGGAUUUAGCAAAGAUAUUGCCUGUUUUCUUACAAUGAGCUUUUCUUCAUUCAACAGCUUGUUAUGAAAUUAAACUUGCACAAACAGAACAAGGAGUUCUAGUGUCUUUGUAACUGAAACAUAUGCAAGGAAAAAAAGUUCAUCAACAAGACCAGCACAUCUUGCAAGUUCAACAAAAUUGCUGUGGCCUAAUUUUACUUCUCAAGCUUUACUUGUCACAUACAAGGUACCAAAGAACCACGCUUUCUUCAACAGAUACAGCUGAGUAUAGGCCAGAGCAUCAUGUAUCAAAAGCCCUUGAAGUUUUGGCAAUACCUGUCUGGUUUACAGGAGGCAAACAUCAACUGACAAAAUGUACAAUCAGCCUGCAUUAAUCAUCUUCCUUUUCAAUCUCAGCAAAAAAAUCUGCAGGGUGAUCAAGAGAAAAGCCUUGUAUUGAUGCCCUCCCACUAAUCUUAUCCAAAGAAAAGGUACAGAAAGGGAGCAGUGGAAUGCACAAAGAACAGAGAAAAGGUAACAAAAGCCUUCCUUACUUAUAGUUCUCUUCUGCUUUUCCCCAUACUAGUAG